UAACCCCGUGCAUCAGGCUGGAUUGGGUCAACCCCCACCUCCCGCUCCUCUCUCCCAUGGAGCGCCUCCGCCGCCCGCCGUGUCCCCCAUCUCUGUCGCCGCCGCCGCCCACCACGUCCCCAUCUCGGUCGCCGGUGGCCUCCACCUCCACUACAUCGCCUCGGCCCCCAACACUUGACGCGAGACAUGGGGAGAGUUACCGGACACAAGCCAUGUCUGGGACACACGAGGCUCCAGUCGCCGUAGACGCGCCGCCUUUCGCCAGCGCGUUCCGGGGAGGGGAAUGCCCGGGGGCGUAGGGUUCGGCUUCCGGGCGGCGGGCCUCGGCCUCUGAUUUUGGCCUUUCUUUGUUUGCCUCCUUACCGGCGCUCGUUUGCGAUUUCGAUUUCUCCUUCCGGUUCGGGAUUCUGGUUCCGGCCUUGUGGGUUUGCGACUGACGGAAUUCCUUCUUCUUUUCCGUGACGGACUGGUGGCAGGUUCCAGAGCGGCGGGAUGGGGAACAGACGGCCGGGAGGAGCGCCGCCGACCAGCAGCAGGAGCGUGGCGAGGGACAACACGGAGGCCGUGUCGGAGGCUCCCCGCCUGCGGCCGCAUGGAGCCCCAGCCGCAUCGGUUUCAGGGAGCCCAAGUCGGAGCACACCCCUUCCUGGUCAUCGGGAGAGGGGUUCCACUGGGGGAAAUGUGAGGACACCGCCUUAUGACAGGCAGCAGAACAGAGCCGUGGAGGAAGCGCGGCUCAGAGCGUCGAGCUUGGUUAAGAAGACCAGUGUGCUCAAUUCUCUGUCAAGAGGUUCAGAAGGAAUCUCUGGCUCUAGGAUGGGUGCAUAGGAGCAAUUGAUGAGUGAGCACGCCAGCAACGGGGAUGUCGGCUCUUCCUCGAAGAAGCGGCCAAGAAAAAUGGAUGCAAGAAGCUACAUCAAGAGCGUCAAGACGGGCGUAAGAGUGGGUGCCCCAGGAAAGGAAGAGCUUGCAGUCGCGGGUUCAUUUGUAUUCAUAUAUACCGUGUUUGAUUCCCAUCGAUCGAUUGCUAAUCUUUGGCAGCUGCCUUCCUCUACUACUGUAGCCGUGGCAAGGACGUCAAGGCCCUGAACUUGACGUAGAAGGAUGGCCGGCUGUCCCAGGUAACCAACUCUCAUAUGAAUCAUAUACAUCCUCUCCGACAAGUGACAGUUGGGGCUUCAUCUAAUUCAUCGAGAAAUCUAAAAUUCAGGGCUUUCCGUUCCUUGAGAACGACUGCCUAACCAGCACGUGCCUGCAUUACAGACUAUACGUGCUGGCUUAGAUUAAUAACACAUAUUCAGUUCACGAUCAGAAGGACAAUUUAGAUUAAUCAGCAAUAAUUACUUCAUAAAAAUGCAGUACAGUUGGACCCUUAAUGCAAGCUUCCAUUAGUGAGCUUUUGCUAAUGAGGAGUAAUUUAGCAACGUGUAUUUUUACUUUUUUAUCCACUGGCCUGUAGGAUUUUGUCUUGAGAUUUCCCGGAAAGGUGUAUUGUCAUUACGAAAAUAUCUUUGAUAUUUGUUUCAUCAAUCUCCAAUUGCUAAUUAUUUGUAAUAUUAAAUUAUAUGUGUUGAAGGCUUCUUUCUAUCGAAUUCAAAAUGCUGGAGCCUUUUGUGCUACUGAAUCAUAUCACUGUUAGUUCUUACCUGAAGAUAUUUUUUCAUUUUGAUAUGCAUGAAGUGACUAAGCUUUUGCUUUGACAAAAUGAAGGAACUGACUGAGCCCACUAUUAAGGAAGAUUUUGGGAAAGGUGUGCAUCAGGGAGCAUCUUGUGUUAUUGUCAGUUCAUAUUUUCUUUUCCGUGACGGAGGAUUUGUAGUUAUAAAAUGCAUACAACUGAAGAUGUCACCAGUGGCUCUGUUUUAUUCUAAUGCAUAUAUCGCACGGUAAGACAUGGGUUCUCAUGCAACUUGGCAUGGUUCUUUCUCAAGAUAUGCCUUCUUUAGCAUCAUAAGCCUCUAAAGAGCACUCGAGUGUACCCUACAUCAUCACGGCUCUUCUUGUACUACAUGGGCUUAUGGUGGUAUGUGCUAAUUAACUUCUCUCUCGAUAUUUAUGAGAAUUAUCAUUAAUAGAAAAGACAAACUAGAUGCCUAAGGAGGAACGUGGUAUUUUCUAUAAGUAGAGCUAACAUGAACAACCACUCUUUUGAUGAUAUGCUAUAUUUUUCCAACAAGGAAUUGAACUACUCUCUAGGAAAGGGAGUUUAGAUUAUUUUUUUAUUAUUAAUGAUGGGUUUGGACUCGAUGGAUGCUUGUUCUAGAAAGAAGUCUAGAAAGAAGUCACUGAAUUGAUAUCAACUAAACCAAUCUCUUCUUUAUACAAGACGCAAGGGGUACCUUGAUAGCACGUAAAAACAUGAAUUGUUUGAGUUCUUUUUUUUAAUAUGAGAAAGUCAAUUUUGCAAGAUAUUAUGAAUGGUCACAUCAAAUACUAUCUGAGGCACAUCACAGGUGAAGUCAACGAGUGUACGAUGUGUGCCAGGACUUGGAAAAGUAUUGCUUUUGAUAUUAAUGGGAAAGACAAUGGAGGCUACUUUGCUCGAUAGUACUACCACGGUAGAUUUGAAAAUUGUAUACAACCAACCCUACUUUCCAGUUUGCACGUUCCUUACCAGGUUUAAUUCUUCAUACUUCUUCAAUGAGAGAAACUUAUAGUUCAGGAUGCAUUCUGCAGGUUCCAUUACUGAUGUGGUACACAAUGCUUACUACACAUGUCGCCUUAUUUUCUUGUUAUGCUAUUUAUCUAAUUAAGCAAAUGUCUCAGCGUCAUAUAUUGUUAAUCUGCAUUGCUACUAUACAAUACGGAGUAAGUUAGAUCUUCUUCCUGCCCCAAGCACGUGCAUUGCAAGCUUGCCCAUAUUUUUUGUAGCCACUAUACUUUAUUUUUCUAUGUCUGUGCAUUAUUGGCAUGUCAAUUGGAGAAUUUAAAAAUACCCCUACAAAUUAUGACAUAGCUCAGCUUUCAUAUUUUGGGGGUCAAUGAUUUGACAUCUGAAUCAGAUGUGUUAAUAUGAGCUACACAAAAUUUAAGUAUGUUAUAUCAUUCCAUAAUGCUAGAAUAUUCAUUAGUGAUUUCUACAGGUUCAUUCUUUUUACCGUGGUGUUGGUACAAGGAUAACAUGAUAUAGACAAACUAUAAUCAUGCUUUCCUGCAUUGCAAGUUGCCCAUAUUAUUUUUAGAUGUUGGUUCUCUUCUUUUCAUUUUAAAGUUUUAGUCUCAAGGCAUCCAUGCUAGCUUACUAUAGAAUUGAACACAAUUGAUGAACCUGAAAUCUUUAUGGGCGAGGUGCUGUAGCGAGAUUACUUUUUAAUCUGAUUUUCACGCCCAGAGAUGGUGAAAUUGUCCAUGCUCAGUGUCAUUCCUUGUUCUUAUUCAGGAGCUGCCAUGGUUAGUGUCACGUGUAUGCACAAUUGUAUUUCAUAAUACUGAACAACCUUGCAGGUGACAUAUUUUCCUUCUAGGUGGCCUGGUCUGCGAUAGCAUACUGGUGGCAGCGAGCACCGAAAGACAGAGAUGCACGUAAGGGAUUGCCUAUUAGUGGCAUCAAGCUCCAGAAUAGAAGAUACAAAAUAGGAUAGGGGGAAGAUAUGGCGAUGAAGAGAGUUGUUUGGUAUGUGCAUGUGUACGUGGUUGUUGGGUUGUCUGUGUUGUAAGUGCAGUCGGAAUUUUUGGCCAACAUGUUUGAAAGUAUAGUCUGUACACAUGUGAAUUAUAAUUUUGGCCACUGAAUUACUAUGGUGACCAAAUCAACACCGAGACGGUUAGCACCCACGGCUCCCUUUUUCUC
This is a long non-coding RNA of Hordeum vulgare subsp. vulgare (domesticated barley), 3790 nucleotides long. RefSeq lists it as uncharacterized. Lineage: Eukaryota; Viridiplantae; Streptophyta; Magnoliopsida; Poales; Poaceae. The record is from RefSeq and is a predicted model, not a curated record. The transcript is spliced from 2 exons.